This 207-nucleotide unclassified non-coding RNA is filed under the name Hevea brasiliensis (rubber tree). The record is from RNAcentral. Lineage: Eukaryota; Viridiplantae; Streptophyta; Magnoliopsida; Malpighiales; Euphorbiaceae.
UUGUGCUAACCUAAGAGCAGCCUACAAAGAGAAGAACCAAUGUUGAUCAUAGUCAAUCAACCACAAGAAACUUAUAGAGAAACGAAUGCCUUGUAAAAACAAAAUGCAAAUAACAUAAAGUUUCCAUAGUUUAGCCAGGUAACAAACUUGAACAACAUAAAAUCAACAAUAUUUUCUUUACAUUUGAUGUCAGAUUCUGAGAAUUUG